Molecule: ribosomal RNA, 450 nt
Filed under: uncultured bacterium
Lineage: Bacteria
Description: bacterial SSU rRNA
Rfam family: Bacterial small subunit ribosomal RNA
Source: RNAcentral
UGGGGAAUAUUGGGCAAUGGGGGAAACCCUGACCCAGCGACGCCGCGUGGGUGAUGAAGGCCUUCGGGUCGUAAAGCCCUGUCGGGCGGAACGAACGCCUCUAGGGUAAAUAGCCCUAGGGAGUGACGGUACCGCCGAAGGAAGCACCGGCCAACUCCGUGCCAGCAGCCGCGGUAAGACGGAGGGUGCAAGCGUUGCUCGGAAUCACUGGGCGUAAAGGGUGCGUAGGCGGUCUCGCAAGUCUGGCGUGAAAGCCCACGGCUCAGCCGUGGAAGUGCGCUCGAAACGGCGAGGCUGGAGUGCCGGAGGGGAGAGUGGAAUUCCCGGUGUAGCGGUGAAAUGCGUAGAGAUCGGGAGGAAUACCGGUGGCGAAAGCGACUCUCUGGACGGCAACUGACGCUGAGGCACGAAAGCGUGGGGAGCAAACAGGAUUAGAUACCCCCGUAGUCC